UCCGAGUUCGUAUAUCGGCUAGUAUGUUCGCCUCUCACUUAAGAAGCUUCGAGUGCGCGAAAGAGACGGGUUCGACUCCCGUACUCGGAA
Cronartium quercuum f. sp. fusiforme G11 is the source of this 90-nucleotide non-coding RNA. The record is from the annotation of a GenBank genome assembly. Lineage: Eukaryota; Fungi; Basidiomycota; Pucciniomycetes; Pucciniales; Coleosporiaceae.